CUAUCCAAAAUUCUUUUUUUUUUUUGGAAGGUAACGUUGUCAAACAGGAGCUUAAAUGAAUGCAUUUGGUUUCGCUCUAAUAGGACGAGUUACUUGGUAUCAAAGCCACGCAAUUGACCUAAGUUCAAGUCUCGUCAUCACCCUUUUACUAAAAGGCGUACACAUGUUAGAUUUAAUUAAAAAAAAUUGAACUCGGCCUACACAUAUGGGGACGUGCUGAAAAUAAAAUUUAAUUGAAAGCGUUCGAUCCACCUGUGAUAGUUGAAUCUCUUAGAUGAGUAGAUUUAGCCCUUAUUUGUCAUCCAUUUUCUCUCAUUAUUUUUUCUACAGUACUCAUUUUAAACCAUACAUUCUUCAUUAAAAUAAUAUUAUACGUAAAUCAAAAACUUUUUCUUCUUUUUUAACCAUACAUUUCUACAUCAAUCACUAUUCCAUAAUACAUUCUUCCCAAAUAAUCGGUGACAAACACACCCUUAACAGGUGGAAGGGAGUACAAGUAUAGGAGUAAAUGUACUAAGGAUAAAUUUUAAUGCAAUUGAAACAGGAUGUUUGUUGGAUCAUGCAAGCGCCUCCGCAUAGUGAAAGGAACAGAGGCAAUAGGACUCGGUUAGUAUCCUCGACCAAUUCUUUUGUUUUUCCCUCAAUAACUUGUAGAUUUUGUCGUAUGCCUCUCUUUCUUAAUUUUGUACUUUAUUGUUCACUUCAAUUGUAUGCAUCGAUUCCCCUCAUGCCCCUAACAUAAUAAUUUAUACUCCGAUGGCUCGAAUAUAAUUGUACAUUUCGAAUAAUUUGACAUUACAAAAUAAGUGAAACCAUGAAUUUGAGUUGCAGCUCCUAGAGCCGUGGAGAAAUGCAAGAACAGAAGCUAAAGUAGUGAAUUGCAGCAAAGCCUGCUCUUUUGUUCUCUGUGGUCCAAAGGCAAAAGGCACAAACGCAGGAGAAUGUUGGAUUAUGUUUUUCUUAUAUAUCAUAUGGUUUGUUGUAAUUUAUUGUUAAUCAACAGUGCUGAAAGUUUCUAAGUAUUCAUUAUUAUGGACAUAAACAAUAAAUAUAUUUGUGCUUAAGACUAUUUGACUAGCUUGUUUAUCACCAAUAAUGCCAUAAUCAUGUACUUGUUUAAUUAUUAGACUGUGUUAUUGUACUCCUUGAUAUCUUGAUUUAUAUGUGGAGUUCACAG
RNAcentral lists this long non-coding RNA (1177 nucleotides) under Olea europaea subsp. europaea. Lineage: Eukaryota; Viridiplantae; Streptophyta; Magnoliopsida; Lamiales; Oleaceae. The record is from RNAcentral.